RNAcentral lists this transfer RNA (74 nucleotides) under Fidelibacterota bacterium. RNAcentral's name for it is "tRNA-Pro". It matches the Rfam family "tRNA". Rfam says of the family: Transfer RNA (tRNA) molecules are approximately 80 nucleotides in length. The record is from RNAcentral. Lineage: Bacteria; Pseudomonadati; Fidelibacterota.
CGGGGUGUGGCGCAGCCCGGUAGCGCACCUGCUUUGGGAGCAGGGGGUCGUAGGUUCAAAUCCUAUCACCCCGA